GACAGAGGGUGCAAACGUUGUUCGGAAUUACUGGGCGUAAAGCGCGUGUAGGCGGCCAUGCAAGUCGGAUGUGAAAGCCCUCGGCUCAACCGGGGAAGUGCACUCGAAACUGCAAGGCUAGAGUCUCGGAGAGGAUCGUGGAAUUCUCGGUGUAGAGGUGAAAUUCGUAGAUAUCGGGAGGAACACCGGUGGCGAAGGCGGGUCUCUGGGCAGUAACUGACGCUGAGGAGCGAAAGCGUGGGGAGCGAACAGG
Molecule: ribosomal RNA, 253 nt
Filed under: uncultured bacterium
Lineage: Bacteria
Description: partial 16S ribosomal RNA
Rfam family: Bacterial small subunit ribosomal RNA
Source: RNAcentral